UUUCCGUAGGUGAACCUGCGGAAGGAUCAUUACAGAGGUUCUGCCCCCCGGGGUAGGUCUCCCACCCGUGUAUACCGUUAUGAAAUGUUGCCUUGGCGUGCCGUGCGCCUGGCGCACCUGGGCCCCCGGCCCGGCGCGCACGCCCGAGGACCCCCGAACGCUGUCUGUACGUGUCGUCUGAGCACUAUAUCGAAUAGUUAAAACUUUCAACAACGGAUCUCUUGGCUCUGGCAUCGAUGAAGAACGCAGC
Molecule: unclassified non-coding RNA, 250 nt
Filed under: uncultured fungus
Lineage: Eukaryota; Fungi
Description: sequence contains ITS1, 5.8S rRNA gene
Rfam family: 5.8S ribosomal RNA (bases 202-250)
Source: RNAcentral